CUGAGCAGGGCUCUCUUCCACAGCUGCCAUACCUCCUUUACCUGGAACCUGGAGAUGCUCCUUGCAAUGAAUGAUCCAGAGCAGCUUAUAGUCAAAGGGAAGGCUGACUCUGGAACUCAAGCCUUCUCACUCAAAGGCCAGUAGUCUUUGUUUCUGGUGAGGGCCAGAUGAAUGAAGCAUAAAUAGUUUGUCCUGUUUUAUCAGUAGCUGUCACAAGGCAUCAUUUCUUUGGCAGCAGAUCUUAGCACAGUUUAUAUGUUUAAUAUUUAACAUAUAUCAGUAACCUAUGACUCAAGCUGAUCACAGACUCAAAUAUAAUGUACCUUGUGGAUGAGCAAGAAGUAAAAAUAGUGUAAGCAUUUCAUCUUGGCCGGGAAAUAGAUAUGAAUGUUCAUGGAAGAAUGAACAAAGGAAGAGGCUUGCAGGUUGGGUCAAUUAAUUCUCUCUCUGGAAUUUUGAACUGAGAUUCACAGAGAAGCUGUUGUGAAGGAGCCAUG
RNAcentral lists this long non-coding RNA (497 nucleotides) under Homo sapiens (human). RNAcentral's name for it is "non-protein coding lnc-CDKN3-1:1". Lineage: Eukaryota; Metazoa; Chordata; Mammalia; Primates; Hominidae. The record is from RNAcentral.